CCAGACUCCUACGGGAGGCAGCAGUGGGGAAUAUUGCACAAUGGGCUAAAGCCUGACGCAGCAACGCCGCGUGAUCUAUACGCCCUUCGGUGUGUAAAGAUCUGUCAGUGGGGACGAAACUUGACGGUACCCACAGAGGAAGCACCGGCUAACUCCGUGCCAGCAGCCGCGGUAAUACGGGGGGUGCAAGCGUUGUCCGGAAUCAUUGGGCGUAAAGCGUUCGUAGGCGGUAAAGUAAGUCAGAUGUUAAAGCCCGGGGCGCAACUCCGGUUCGGCAUUUGAUACUACUUGACUAGAAUGCGGUAGAGGGAAAGGGAAUUCCUGGUGUAGCGGUGAAAUGCGUAGAUAUCAGGAGGAACAUCGGUGGCGAAAGCGCUUUACUGGGCCGUUAUUGACGCUGAGGAACGAAAGCCAGGGUAGCAAACGGGAUUAGAUACCCUCGUAGCG
RNAcentral lists this ribosomal RNA (447 nucleotides) under uncultured bacterium. RNAcentral describes it as "bacterial SSU rRNA". It matches the Rfam family "Bacterial small subunit ribosomal RNA", at positions 331 to 795 of the family's 1533-position model. The record is from RNAcentral.